UACGGGAGGCAGCAGUGGGGAAUAUUGCACAAUGGGCGCAAGCCUGAUGCAGCCAUGCCGCGUGUAUGAAGAAGGCCUUCGGGUUGUAAAGUACUUUCAGUCGUGAGGAAGGUGUUAAGGUUAAUAACCUUAGCAAUUGACGUUAGCGACAGAAGAAGCACCGGCUAACUCCGUGCCAGCAGCCGCGGUAAUACGGAGGGUGCGAGCGUUAAUCGGAAUUACUGGGCGUAAAGGGCACGCAGGCGGUUAAUUAAGUUGGAUGUGAAAUCCCCGGGCUUAACCUAGGAAUGGCAUUCAAGACUGGUUAGCUAGAGUCUUGUAGAGGGGGUAGAAUUCCAUGUGUAGCGGUGAAAUGCGUAGAGAUGUGGAGGAAUACCGGUGGCGAAGGCGGCCCCUGGCAAAGGACUGACGCUCAUGUGCGAAAGCGUGGGGAGCAAAC
This 439-nucleotide ribosomal RNA is filed under the name uncultured bacterium. Its description in RNAcentral is "bacterial SSU rRNA". It matches the Rfam family "Bacterial small subunit ribosomal RNA", at positions 340 to 773 of the family's 1533-position model. The record is from RNAcentral.